Molecule: non-coding RNA, 27 nt
Filed under: Cricetulus griseus (Chinese hamster)
Lineage: Eukaryota; Metazoa; Chordata; Mammalia; Rodentia; Cricetidae
Source: RNAcentral
ACAGCACAACUGUAAUGAACACAUAGA